UCUCUUAAUCGAUACUUAUCAUCGUUUGAGAUUUCAAAAUUUCGCUUGAGUAUUUUCAAAAUAAGGAUGGAUAUACUAAAAUUGAAAGAUAAAGAGAUAACAUAGUGAUAAGUUUGAAAGUUGGUGAGACUUAAGUCAUGUGGGUAAAGUUAAGGUUCCAGAAGUUAGAGCAUUUGAGUUCUAAUCUCUCUAUUCCGGUAUUCCUUUCCCACUUCUUAAAUUUCAUUCCUUUCCUGUUGGAAAAAAAAAAAA
RNAcentral lists this long non-coding RNA (252 nucleotides) under Coffea arabica (coffee). RNAcentral describes it as "long non-coding RNA (CARA_LNC005080)". Lineage: Eukaryota; Viridiplantae; Streptophyta; Magnoliopsida; Gentianales; Rubiaceae. The record is from RNAcentral.